RNAcentral lists this small nucleolar RNA (72 nucleotides) under Echeneis naucrates (live sharksucker). RNAcentral describes it as "Small nucleolar RNA SNORD59 (ENSENLG00000002786.1)". It matches the Rfam family "Small nucleolar RNA SNORD59". From Rfam's summary of the family: U59 belongs to the C/D class of snoRNA which contain the C (UGAUGA) and D (CUGA) box motifs. Most of the members of the box C/D family function in directing site-specific 2'-O-methylation of substrate RNAs. Lineage: Eukaryota; Metazoa; Chordata; Actinopteri; Carangiformes; Echeneidae. The record is from Rfam by way of RNAcentral.
UCUUCCAUGAUGAUUUGCACAGACUUUCGUUCUUCUGAGUGUACUGAAGCCAGCCUUUCUGUCCUGAGAAGA